Molecule: long non-coding RNA, 386 nt
Filed under: Heterocephalus glaber (naked mole-rat)
Lineage: Eukaryota; Metazoa; Chordata; Mammalia; Rodentia; Bathyergidae
Description: lncRNA (ENSHGLG00100045531.1)
Source: RNAcentral
CACUGGUGAUAACUGCAGGGAUGUAUUUGAAAGCCACUGUACCCAUUUUUCUAGAUGAAAAUAUCUUCCCUUGAAUGGCCCAAGUGAAGGUAAAUGACUUCUAGUCUGCCCUCUCUGAAACCCAUGCCCCACUGCUCAUCAAAGAAGACUGAGGUCCUCAAAGAUGAGAAUGGCUGCCUAUUAAAGACCCUUCCAAUAGACUGCAGAGGCAAAGGAAGUUCAAUAAUGCUGUAUUGGCUUCAUGGUUAUUGAAUGGUGAGGAGGAAUCUACAGAUUUUUUUAAUAGAGUUACAGAUAUUUUCUACAUGAACACUAUAAAAUUUCAGAGAAUCUCUGAGCUUCCACUUGGCUUCUUAUAAUAUUCCUUGGAGGACACAGAAUGGUAG